This 591-nucleotide ribosomal RNA is filed under the name Fusarium vanettenii. RNAcentral describes it as "partial 28S ribosomal RNA". It matches the Rfam family "Eukaryotic large subunit ribosomal RNA", at positions 1 to 602 of the family's 3401-position model. Lineage: Eukaryota; Fungi; Ascomycota; Sordariomycetes; Hypocreales; Nectriaceae. The record is from RNAcentral.
UUGACCUCGAAUCAGGUAGGAAUACCCGCUGAACUUAAGCAUAUCAAUAAGCGGAGGAAAAGAAACCAACAGGGAUUGCCCCAGUAACGGCGAGUGAAGCGGCAACAGCUCAAAUUUGAAAUCUGGCUCUCGGGCCCGAGUUGUAAUUUGUAGAGGAUGCUUUUGGUGAGGUGCCUUCCGAGUUCCCUGGAACGGGACGCCAUAGAGGGUGAGAGCCCCGUCUGGUUGGACACCGAUCCUCUGUAAAGCUCCUUCGACGAGUCGAGUAGUUUGGGAAUGCUGCUCUAAAUGGGAGGUAUAUGUCUUCUAAAGCUAAAUACCGGCCAGAGACCGAUAGCGCACAAGUAGAGUGAUCGAAAGAUGAAAAGAACUUUGAAAAGAGAGUUAAACAGUACGUGAAAUUGUUGAAAGGGAAGCGCUUGUGACCAGACUUGGGCUUGGUUGAUCAUCCGGGGUUCUCCCCGGUGCACUCUUCCGGCCCAGGCCAGCAUCAGUUCGCCCUGGGGGACAAAGGCUUCGGGAAUGUGGCUCUCUCCGGGGAGUGUUAUAGCCCGUUGCGUAAUACCCUGUGGCGGACUGAGGUUCGCGCAU